CGCACAUUGCGCCCCCUGGUAUUCCGAGGGGCAUGCCUGUUCGAGCGUCAUUACAACUCUCAAGCCUGGCUUGGUAUUGGGCUUCGUCACUUAUUUGGCGGGCCUUAAAAUCAGUGGCAGUGUCGUCGGGGCCCUGAGCGUAGUAAAUUCCCUCGCUACAGAGACCUCGCGACUACUAGCCAUCAACCCCCAACUUUCCAAGUUUGACCUCGGAUCAGGUAGGGAUACCCGCUGAACUUAA
RNAcentral lists this unclassified non-coding RNA (241 nucleotides) under Helotiales sp. RNAcentral describes it as "partial contains 5.8S ribosomal RNA, internal transcribed spacer 2, and large subunit ribosomal RNA". The record is from RNAcentral. Lineage: Eukaryota; Fungi; Ascomycota; Leotiomycetes; Helotiales.